This 598-nucleotide ribosomal RNA is filed under the name Hepatozoon canis. Its description in RNAcentral is "bacterial SSU rRNA". It matches the Rfam family "Eukaryotic small subunit ribosomal RNA", at positions 221 to 807 of the family's 1831-position model. The record is from RNAcentral. Lineage: Eukaryota; Apicomplexa; Hepatozoidae.
GCCAAUGCAUGCUUUUACAGUAUGGAAAUUGGUGAUUUAUAAUAACUUGGCAAAUCGCAAAGUGAAAACAGGCGAUAAAUCAUUCAAGUUUCUGACCUAUCAGCUUUCGACGGUAUGGUAUUGGCUUACCGUGGCAGUGACGGUUAACGGGGGAUUAGGGUUCGAUUCCGGAGAGGGAGCCUGAGAAACGGCUACCACAUCUAAGGAAGGCAGCAGGCGCGCAAAUUACCCAAUUCUAACAGUUUGAGAGAGGUAGUAACAAGAAAUAACAAUACAAGGCAAUUAAAAUGCUUUGUAAUUGGAAUGAUAGAAAUUUAAACCCUUUUUAAAGUAUCAAUUGGAGGGCAAGUCUGGUGCCAGCAGCCGCGGUAAUUCCAGCUCCAAUAGCGUAUAUUAAAAUUGUUGCAGUUAAAAAGCUCGUAGUUGAAGUUCUGCUAAAAGUAACCGGUCUGCUUUUAAUAAAAGUGGUAUCUUGGUGUGUAUUUAGCAAUGAUGUCCUUUGAAGUGUUUUUUACUUUAUUGUAAUAAAGCAUAUUCAGGACUUUUACUUUGAGAAAAUUAGAGUGUUUCUAGCAGGCCGACGCUUUGAAUACUGCAG